UGGUUUAAUUCGAUGAUACGCGAGGAACCUUACCCGGGCUUGAAUUGCAGAGGAAGAAUUUGGAGACAAUGACGCCCUUCGGGGUCUCUGUGAAGGUGCUGCAUGGUUGUCGUCAGCUCGUGCCGUGAGGUGUCGGCUUAAGUGCCAUAACGAGCGCAACCCCUCUCCUUAGUUGCCAUCAGGUCAAGCUGGGCACUCUGGGGACACUGCCACCGUAAGGUGUGA
This 225-nucleotide ribosomal RNA is filed under the name uncultured bacterium. Its description in RNAcentral is "partial 16S ribosomal RNA". It matches the Rfam family "Bacterial small subunit ribosomal RNA", at positions 942 to 1167 of the family's 1533-position model. The record is from RNAcentral.